RNAcentral lists this ribosomal RNA (254 nucleotides) under uncultured bacterium. RNAcentral describes it as "partial 16S ribosomal RNA". It matches the Rfam family "Bacterial small subunit ribosomal RNA", at positions 524 to 776 of the family's 1533-position model. The record is from RNAcentral.
UACGUAGGUGGCAAGCGUUGUCCGGAUUUAUUGGGUUUAAAGGGUGCGUAGGCGGCCCUGUAAGUCAGUGCUGAAAUACCCCGGCUUAACCGGGGGGGUGGCAUUGAUACUGCAGGGCUUGAGUACAGAUGAGGUAGGCGGAAUUGACGGUGUAGCGGUGAAAUGCAUAGAUAUCGUCAAGAACACCGGAUAGCGAAGGCAGCUUACUGGGCUGUAACUGACGCUGAUGCACGAAAGUGUGGGGAUCAAACAGG